This 443-nucleotide ribosomal RNA is filed under the name uncultured bacterium. RNAcentral describes it as "partial 16S ribosomal RNA". It matches the Rfam family "Bacterial small subunit ribosomal RNA", at positions 338 to 795 of the family's 1533-position model. The record is from RNAcentral.
CCUACGGGUGGCAGCAGUGGGGAAUAUUGGGCAAUGGGCGCAAGCCUGACCCAGCAACGCCGCGUGAAGGAAGAAGGCUUUCGGGUUGUAAACCUCUUUUCUGAGGGACGAAGAAAGUGACGGUACCUCAGGAAUAAGCCACGGCUAACUACGUGCCAGCAGCCGCGGUAAUACGUAGGCGGCAAGCGUUCUCCGGAUUUAGUGGGUGUAAGGGGGGUGUAGGCGGGAAAGCAAGGCAGAUGUGAAAACUCAGGGCUCAACCCUGGGCCUGCAUUUGAAACUGUGUUUCUUGAGUGCUGGAGAGGCAGUCGGAAUUCCUGGUGUAGCGGUGAAAUGCGUAGAUAUAAGGAGGAACACCAGUGGCGAAGGCGGAUUGCUGGACUGUAACUGACGCUGAGGCGCGAAAGCGUGGGGAGCAAACAGGAUUAGAUACCCUUGUAGUC